This 253-nucleotide ribosomal RNA is filed under the name uncultured bacterium. RNAcentral's name for it is "partial 16S ribosomal RNA". It matches the Rfam family "Bacterial small subunit ribosomal RNA", at positions 524 to 776 of the family's 1533-position model. The record is from RNAcentral.
UACGUAGGGUGCGAGCGUUAAUCGGAAUUACUGGGCGUAAAGCGUGCGCAGGCGGUUUUGUAAGUCAGAUGUAAAAUCCCCGGGCUUAACCUGGGAACUGCGUUUGAAACUACAAGGCUAGAGUGUGGCAGAGGGGGGUGGAAUUCCACGUGUAGCAGUGAAAUGCGUAGAGAUGUGGAGGAACACCGAUGGCGAAGGCAGCCCCCUGGGUUAACACUGACGCUCAGGCACGAAAGCGUGGGGAGCAAACAGG